GGAGUCCAAUGCAGAGGAAAAAUUCAAGGCGAUCACUACUGCGUACGAGAUAAGAAUUUGCAUUUCUUUCAAUUCCAUGAAGAUCAUUCCCAUGUAGGUGCUCUCGGAUGAUGAAAACCAAGCCAUCAAGAGGAGGGCCAACUUCCACGGAUAGUCCAUUCAUAUUUUUGACUCGUUUUUAAAAGACCGAGCAGAUUUGAAAGGCGCAGAUUGAUCUGGAGUUCAAGAAAACGAUCUCAGGAGCCUUGACUGACCUCAAAGAAGCGGUUUUUGGAGUGGAAAAACAGUUUGACAUAUGGCAUGUGGAAAGCUGCGAGGCAUAUAACGGAACUAGCGCCAGAAGCAAGAGCACAAAGAGAUAUCGAGUCUGUGGAGGAAUGGGUGAAGUUAUGCGGACACAAGAAACAGACUUCGGGAUGUUCUCACAGGUGAGGGACAAGUGGAGUGUUCCGUGUCAGUGCGCAUGUUGCCGGUGGACUCGCUUGUUCUAUGUAGUUUCUCUGUGACUGACAUUGUGCU
Selaginella moellendorffii is the source of this 519-nucleotide long non-coding RNA. RefSeq lists it as uncharacterized. The transcript has 4 exons. The record is from RefSeq and is a predicted model, not a curated record. NCBI's taxonomy places the organism in Eukaryota, Viridiplantae, Streptophyta, Lycopodiopsida, Selaginellales, Selaginellaceae.